This 253-nucleotide ribosomal RNA is filed under the name uncultured bacterium. RNAcentral describes it as "partial 16S ribosomal RNA". It matches the Rfam family "Bacterial small subunit ribosomal RNA", at positions 524 to 776 of the family's 1533-position model. The record is from RNAcentral.
UACGGGGGGAGCAAGCGUUGUUCGGAUUUAUUGGGCGUAAAGAGCUCGUAGGCGGUUUGUCGCGUCUGCCGUGAAAGUCCGGGGCUCAACUCCGGAUCUGCGGUGGGUACGGGCAGACUAGAGUGAUGUAGGGGAGACUGGAAUUCCUGGUGUAGCGGUGAAAUGCGCAGAUAUCAGGAGGAACACCGAUGGCGAAGGCAGGUCUCUGGGCAUUAACUGACGCUGAGGCACGAAGGUCAGGGGAGCAAACGGG